CCUACGUGUGGCAGCAGUGAGGAAUAUUGGUCAAUGGGCGCGAGCCUGAACCAGCCAAGUAGCGUGAAGGAUGACUGCCCUACGGGUUGUAAACUUCUUUUAUAAAGGAAUAAAGUGAGGCACGUGUGCCUUUUUGUAUGUACUUUAUGAAUAAGGAUCAGCUAACUCCGUGCCAGCAGCCGCGGUAAUACGGAGGAUCCGAGCGUUAUCCGGAUUUAUUGGGUUUAAAGGGAGCGUAGAUGGGUUGUUAAGUCAGUUGUGAAAGUUCGCGGCUCAACCGUAAAAUUGCAAUUGAUACUGGCAGUCUUGAGUACAGUUGAGGUAGGCGGAAUUCGUGGUGUAGCGGUGAAAUGCUUAGAUAUCACGAAGAACUCCGAUUGCGAAGGCAGCUUACUAAACUGCCACUGACAUUGAUGCUCGAAAGUGUGGGUAUCAAACAGGAUUAGAUACUCGAGUAGUC
RNAcentral lists this ribosomal RNA (460 nucleotides) under uncultured bacterium. RNAcentral describes it as "partial 16S ribosomal RNA". It matches the Rfam family "Bacterial small subunit ribosomal RNA", at positions 338 to 795 of the family's 1533-position model. The record is from RNAcentral.